UUCACAAUGAAGUACUCACAGCUUUCCAGUUCAACAUCAGAAGGUUUCGGUGCACAGAUUUAUUUGGCAGUUGUUUGGCAUUUCGGGCAAGUACUCCAAACAUUGUUUAAGACUUUUAAAUUAUUUGAGUGACGUUUAACGGUGACUGGUGGCAUAAUUGCCGACAUUUUACAUGAAGAUACCACACGGCUUGACAAUCCACUAGAUAAAUAUGUAGCUGUGGUUGAAAUUGGCACAUUAUUUGUUUGCUUGUGGACAAUAUGUAUUUGUUUUAUUGUGGAAAGGUCUUCUGUUCUACUAUUAGCACAUUAUUGUACACAGGUUGAUCGCAUUUUGAAUCUACAAGACGCAGCACAGGCAAGAACUCACACAAAACGUUUCCUGAUAAUACUUACGGCCGUAACAUUGAUUCUUCUUAUUUAUACUCAUUACAUCUGGAUAUUUGUAACAGAAAACCCUCUUUAUACGGUAUUUUUUUCUGCUGGGUAUUACUUAUCGCAUAUUGUUGUUCUGGGAGUUAUUUCACUUUACUGGGUCAUAUGCGAUGGCAUCUCACGUCGUAUUUCUGAUCUACAAAAAGAAUUAACUUUUAGUGACAUCACAACAAAAGACAAAAAGGUUAAACAAUUAAAUAGCAAACACGCAACGAAUAUGAAUUUUGUUUAUCGCAACCUGUUCUCUGGUUUAACAUCUUUCAGCAGUGCAUAUGGACCCAUAAUAUUUGCUGUAAUGAUGAACAUUUUGAUCUCACUAAUCGCAAGUUUAUACGUGAUUAUUAAUCAAGCAACUCAUCAGCAAGUAGCAACACGUCGCAUAAUGGAGAUGAUGUGGGGCACUUUUCAUUUAAGCCGGUUGAUUUUAAUUGUUGAACCAGCACACCGUUUGAAUGAUGGAAUGGGUUGUGUACGAGCCCUAAUUGCAAAGUUGUUAUCGUACAAUGUUAAUGAAGAAACUAAAACACAAGUUGAAAUAUUUACAAUGCAAGUAUUACUUUCACCGCAAGGUUCUUUCAGUCCAUUUGGUAUGCUCACUGUUAACAGAAGUGUUAUCAUAACCGUCGUG
This is a long non-coding RNA of Dalotia coriaria, 1062 nucleotides long. RefSeq lists it as uncharacterized. Lineage: Eukaryota; Metazoa; Arthropoda; Insecta; Coleoptera; Staphylinidae. The transcript has 5 exons. The record is from RefSeq and is a predicted model, not a curated record.